RNAcentral lists this ribosomal RNA (431 nucleotides) under uncultured bacterium. RNAcentral describes it as "bacterial SSU rRNA". It matches the Rfam family "Bacterial small subunit ribosomal RNA", at positions 29 to 506 of the family's 1533-position model. The record is from RNAcentral.
ACGAACGCUGGCGGCAUGCCUAACACAUGCAAGUCGAACGAGAUCUUCGGAUCUAGUGGCGCACGGGUGCGUAACGCGUGGGAAUCUGCCCUUGGGUUCGGAAUAACAGUUGGAAACGACUGCUAAUACCGGAUGAUGACGUAAGUCCAAAGAUUUAUCGCCCAAGGAUGAGCCCGCGUAGGAUUAGCUAGUUGGUGAGGUAAAGGCUCACCAAGGCGACGAUCCUUAGCUGGUCUGAGAGGAUGAUCAGCCACACUGGGACUGAGACACGGCCCAGACUCCUACGGGAGGCAGCAGUGGGGAAUAUUGGACGAUGGGCGAAAGCCUGAUCCAGCAAUGCCGCGUGAGUGAUGAAGGCCUUAGGGUUGUAAAGCUCUUUUACCCGAGAUGAUAAUGACAGUAUCGGGAGAAGAAGCUCCGGCUAACUCCGU